This 489-nucleotide ribosomal RNA is filed under the name Aspidarachna sp. BOLD:ADL5239. RNAcentral describes it as "partial 16S ribosomal RNA". It matches the Rfam family "Bacterial large subunit ribosomal RNA", at positions 1829 to 2597 of the family's 2925-position model. Lineage: Eukaryota; Metazoa; Arthropoda; Malacostraca; Isopoda; Munnopsidae. The record is from RNAcentral.
CUCCUUUUGGGACAUUAAAAGGUAUUCUCUGCUCCAUGAAUUUUAAAUAGCCGCAGUAUCUUGACUGUGCUAAGGUAGCAUAGUAAUUUGUUCUAUAAUUGAGGACUAGAAUGAAAGAGUUGACAAUAUUCAAGCUUUUCUAAAAAAAAACAUGGAAUUUGAUUUUUUCAUCAAAAAGUGAAAAUAAACUUAAGGGACGAUAAGACCCUAUAAAGCUUCAUAAUAAUUAAAUACUUUUACCAGGAACUAUAAAAGCAACAUAAUUAUUAUUGGGCUGGGGCGGCAUCCAAUUUUGCAAUGGAAAACUUAACACAAAUAAGUGAUUAUAAAGAUCUUAAAUAGAGCUAGAAUAAGCUACUUUAGGGAUAACAGCACAAUUUUAUUUUAGAGAUCUUAUCGAAAAUAAAGACUUGUGACCUCGAUGUUGAAUUGAAGAGCCUUUUUCAAGCAGAAAUGAGAAUAGGAAGUCUGUUCGACUUUUAAUCCUUC